This 90-nucleotide transfer RNA is filed under the name Noviherbaspirillum sp. RNAcentral describes it as "tRNA-Ser". It matches the Rfam family "tRNA". From Rfam's summary of the family: Transfer RNA (tRNA) molecules are approximately 80 nucleotides in length. Their secondary structure includes four short double-helical elements and three loops (D, anti-codon, and T loops). The record is from RNAcentral. RNAcentral also lists the same sequence under 2 other names. Lineage: Bacteria; Pseudomonadati; Pseudomonadota; Betaproteobacteria; Burkholderiales; Oxalobacteraceae.
GGAAAGGUGGCAGAGUGGUCGAAUGUACCUGACUCGAAAUCAGGCGUACGUGCAAGCGUACCGAGGGUUCGAAUCCCUCCCUUUCCGCCA